GCUGACGAUUCCCUUUUUUUGUUUAUUUAUUUUUUCUUUCCACUGACAAGAUCAAGAAUUAAUUGUUAAAAAUAAAAUAUAAGACUGUUGAAUAGUUAAGUAGAAAAUGAAAACAAGAAUAGACCGAACAAUGAAUUAUUAUUAAUUAAAAACAAUUGUUAUACAAACAUGUAGAACGAAGACUGAAAAUAUUUUUAUAAAUUCUGUGACGAGAGAAGGAAUAAAUAAAAGAAUCGAUAAUAAACCAAGAGGAAUAAAUAAAAUAAAAGGAUAGAAAAAAAACUGACUUAUAAAACGAUAAGUGUUGGCUAUAAAUUCUCUUUCUAUCAAAACAGACUAAUUUAUUAAAACGAUAGAAUGAUAAAUAAAGAAGUGAAAUUAUAAUUAACGAGAUAAAUAAUAAUAAUAGAUGUAAAAAAAAAGUGUUAUAAAAAAUUGAUUUUUGAAAAGGCCUUACUUUGUAAAAACGAAACUUGGAUAUCUCUGAGGGAAAAUAUUUUCCACUUUUUUCCAAAUGAAGACAAAAAUUUAUUUUCAAAAAUUCAAGAAAGGCCUGAAUAUUAAAGAAAAUAAAUAGAUCAAUUGCAAAAUAAAGAAUAGAGAAAAAUUAUAAAAGA
This is a long non-coding RNA of Leptopilina heterotoma, 617 nucleotides long. RefSeq lists it as uncharacterized. The transcript has 3 exons. The record is from RefSeq and is a predicted model, not a curated record. NCBI's taxonomy places the organism in Eukaryota, Metazoa, Arthropoda, Insecta, Hymenoptera, Figitidae.